CUAGGUUCAAAUCUUGCCUUCUUCCUGGUGAGGUGGGGGCGAGCCUUGGAAAGCAUUAUUCCCCUGUUGUUUUCAGAUUCAUCAGCGCGAGCCGGAGUGCCAAUGGGAAGUCCCCAGGUGAAGCAACAAGAGGACAGCAAGAUAUAAAGCUUCAUUCGGAGCACCUCGAUUUGCAGCGACAUGAGGAUGAGGGUGUCACUGACCAGGCAACAUUUAUUGUCCGUCCCUAGUUGCCCAGAUGGAAGUUAUAAGCCAACCACAGUGCUGUGGGCCUGGAGUCACAUGUCGGCCAGACCAGAGAAUCUGAGCAGAAUUUGAGGGGGCUCUAGUGAUGACGUGGAAAUAUUCCCUAUCCCCUGAGCCAGGAGGCUCAGCUUCAAGACCCAUCUGCUCCAGAGGAUGUGCCAUAACCUCCCUGAACAUGUUGAAUGGAAAAUAUCAUGAAUCAGAGCAGGAAAGGAUCAUGAAGUGUGCAGCAUUCUUGUGAUUUCAUGAGCAUUAGUGUCUCAAUGUCUUCAUUAAUAAUUGUCCAAUCAGGCUCACUCCUGCUGUUAUGGCGGUUAUAGGUUGUACCUUUUGUGCUAAUAUUGAUACACAUGAAAGUUCAGCUCAUUAGA
This is a long non-coding RNA of Stegostoma tigrinum, 617 nucleotides long. RefSeq lists it as uncharacterized. The transcript has 4 exons. The record is from RefSeq and is a predicted model, not a curated record. Lineage: Eukaryota; Metazoa; Chordata; Chondrichthyes; Orectolobiformes; Stegostomatidae.